UCAAAUUAACGUAGCGCGGUGGUCCCACCUGACCCCAUGCCGAACUCAGAAGUGAAACGCCGUAGCGCCGAUGGUAGUGUGGGGUCUCCCCAUGCGAGAGUAGGGAACUGCCAGGC
Molecule: ribosomal RNA, 116 nt
Filed under: Escherichia coli
Lineage: Bacteria; Pseudomonadati; Pseudomonadota; Gammaproteobacteria; Enterobacterales; Enterobacteriaceae
Source: RNAcentral